AGAGUUUGAUCCUGGCUCAGGAUGAACGCUGGCGGCGUGCUUAACACAUGCAAGUCGAACGAUGACCCGGUGCUUGCACCGGUGAUUAGUGGCGAACGGGUGAGUAACACGUGAGUAACCUGCCCUUAACUCUGGGAUAAGCCUGGGAAACUGGGUCUAAUACCGGAUAUGACUCCUCAUCGCAUGGUGGGGGGUGGAAAGCUUUAUUGUGGUUUUGGAUGGACUCGCGGCCUAUCAGCUUGUUGGUGAGGUAAUGGCUCACCAAGGCGACGACGGGUAGCCGGCCUGAGAGGGUGACCGGCCACACUGGGACUGAGACACGGCCCAGACUCCUACGGGAGGCAGCAGUGGGGAAUAUUGCACAAUGGGCGAAAGCCUGAUGCAGCGACGCCGCGUGAGGGAUGACGGCCUUCGGGUUGUAAACCUCUUUCAGUAGGGAAGAAGCGAAAGUGACGGUACCUGCAGAAGAAGCGCCGGCUAACUACGUGCCAGCAGCCGCGGUAAUACGUAGGGCGCAAGCGUUAUCCGGAAUUAUUGGGCGUAAAGAGCUCGUAGGCGGUUUGUCGCGUCUGCCGUGAAAGUCCGGGGCUCAACUCCGGAUCUGCGGUGGGUACGGGCAGACUAGAGUGAUGUAGGGGAGACUGGAAUUCCUGGUGUAGCGGUGAAAUGCGCAGAUAUCAGGAGGAACACCGAUGGCGAAGGCAGGUCUCUGGGCAUUAACUGACGCUGAGGAGCGAAAGCAUGGGGAGCGAACAGGAUUAGAUACCCUGGUAGUCCAUGCCGUAAACGUUGGGCACUAGGUGUGGGGGACAUUCCACGUUUUCCGCGCCGUAGCUAACGCAUUAAGUGCCCCGCCUGGGGAGUACGGCCGCAAGGCUAAAACUCAAAGGAAUUGACGG
RNAcentral lists this ribosomal RNA (899 nucleotides) under Arthrobacter sp. C4R10_pA. RNAcentral's name for it is "bacterial SSU rRNA". It matches the Rfam family "Bacterial small subunit ribosomal RNA", at positions 8 to 916 of the family's 1533-position model. Lineage: Bacteria; Bacillati; Actinomycetota; Actinomycetes; Micrococcales; Micrococcaceae. The record is from RNAcentral.